This 62-nucleotide transfer RNA is filed under the name Corythucha ciliata (sycamore lace bug). RNAcentral describes it as "tRNA-Cys". The record is from RNAcentral. Lineage: Eukaryota; Metazoa; Arthropoda; Insecta; Hemiptera; Tingidae.
GGUUUUAUAUUCAAUUUAUGAUAUCAAAUUGCAAAUUUGAAGGUAUGCUUUUAUUAAAACCU